This 484-nucleotide ribosomal RNA is filed under the name uncultured bacterium. RNAcentral describes it as "partial 16S ribosomal RNA". It matches the Rfam family "Bacterial small subunit ribosomal RNA", at positions 30 to 507 of the family's 1533-position model. The record is from RNAcentral.
AUUGAACGCUGGCGGCAGGCCUAACACAUGCAAGUCGAGCGGAUGAAGGGAGCUUGCUCCUGGAUUCAGCGGCGGACGGGUGAGUAAUGCCUAGGAAUCUGCCUGGUAGUGGGGGAUAACGUCCGGAAACGGGCGCUAAUACCGCAUACGUCCUGAGGGAGAAAGUGGGGGAUCUUCGGACCUCACGCUAUCAGAUGAGCCUAGGUCGGAUUAGCUAGUUGGUGGGGUAAAGGCCUACCAAGGCGACGAUCCGUAACUGGUCUGAGAGGAUGAUCAGUCAAACUGGAAAUGAGACACGGUCCAGACUCCUACGGGAGGCAGCAGUGGGGAAUAUUGGACAAUGGGCGAAAGCCUGAUCCAGCCAUGCCGCGUGUGUGAAGAAGGUCUUCGGAUUGUAAAGCACUUUAAGUUGGGAGGAAGGGCAGUAAGUUAAUACCUUGCUGUUUUGACGUUACCAACAGAAUAAGCACCGGCUAACUUCGUG